This 82-nucleotide small RNA is filed under the name Gramella sp. Hel_I_59. Its description in RNAcentral is "Flavo-1 RNA". It matches the Rfam family "Flavo-1 RNA". Lineage: Bacteria; Pseudomonadati; Bacteroidota; Flavobacteriia; Flavobacteriales; Flavobacteriaceae. The record is from RNAcentral.
UAGUAGUUGCGUUAGGGAUAGCAGCGGAAAUCCUUUUUGUGAAGUAUGAGCAAAAAGAUUGAAGCGAAUAGCCCGCCGCGAC